This is a long non-coding RNA of Bos taurus (domestic cattle), 1152 nucleotides long. NCBI's taxonomy places the organism in Eukaryota, Metazoa, Chordata, Mammalia, Artiodactyla, Bovidae. The record is from Ensembl.
CAUUGUAUAAAUUAGUGAUGAAUUUUGUGAAGGAAAUGAAAGUGGGAAAUGUGAUGUUGUCUUGGGGAGCGAACAGAGUGGUCGGGAAAGGACUGGGAGAGUGAGUGGGGAAUGAAGGCAAAGGUGAUGCUUGGAUGACAGUGUCCUCCACUGAGACCGCGAACAUAAGGAGAAAGGGAAGUUUAAGAGGAGAUGAUGUCGAGCGCAGUGUGGGAGAUCCAUGAGAAUAUGCCCAGAAGAGAACAAAGAAGAUAGGAGUAUCCACCUCUGCCACACCACACUGCAAACACACACAUGCUCAGAGGCAUACGUGCAUGUGACACGUGAACACACAUCCCAUGGGAUCAGUCCACACAGAGGUGGGGACGUGCCGAACCUGAGGAUCAAAACAGCAACAGUGUGAAAAUGAGGCCCCAGAGGCCUCCUGAGGGUUCCGAUCAAAGAUCGAUGCUUCUUUAUUCAUUAAGGAUCACCGUCGUGGAGGCAGGAGCGGCGUGCUCCCUCCUGUGCAGCAGAGACAGUCAAUGGUUUUAUGGUUUUAUUCAGCACAUGUGCUAAGCUGCUCUGGUUGACAAUGUGAGACAAUAAAACCCCAAUCUGAAAAAGAAGCAAGGCCAAGGAACUUUUUUCUGGGAAGAAGUGGAAGAACAGUUCUCCAUCUCCUCAGAGAAAACCAUAAAAGAAGAUAAAUUAGUUAAAAGAAGACCUACAGGAAGAGGGUGGUGUUCUGUGUUGGGAGGCCUGACCGCCGUCAGGAGCAGAAAGGAACCCACCCAUGGGCUGGCUGUGGCCUCAGUGAGUUCUGAGCUGCUAGGGCCCUGGCUUCAAUCUUACAAGUUCAAAAUUUAAUCUGAUCUUCAUUCCCAAACUGAUCCAGCUAGAGUAUAUUUUUCUCCCUCUCUCAAACAUCACAAAAGUAUAUUUAAAAUCACGACAAUCUUUAAAUUUAUAGAAUGAGAACUGUAACACCCAAGUGAAAUGAACAAUCACAUUAUCCUUCCUGCACAUUCUCUUCCCAGAGAUAAGCUUUAUGAGAUGCCAAAUUAUGACUGGAACCAGCCAGCUUUUGUAGAGUAUUCGAAAAUCUACCAGAUCAGAGUCUGAUAGCCAUGCACACAGCUGGGGAUCGAUUCCUUGGGCCAGCUAAUCAAU